AAUGAACGCUGGCGGCAUGCCUAACACAUGCAAGUCGAACGAGACCUUCGGGUCUAGUGGCGCACGGGUGCGUAACGCGUGGGAAUCUACCCUUGGGUUCGGAAUAACAGUUAGAAAUGACUGCUAAUACCGGAUGAUGACGUAAGUCCAAAGAUUUAUCGCCCAGGGAUGAGCCCGCGUAGGAUUAGCUAGUUGGUGUGGUAAAAGCGCACCAAGGCGACGAUCCAGCUGGUCUGAGAGGAUGAUCAGCCACACUGGGACUGAGACACGGCCCAGACUCCUACGGGAGGCAGCAGUGGGGAAUAUUGGACAAUGGGCGAAAGCCUGAUCCAGCAAUGCCGCGUGAGUGAUGAAGGCCUUAGGGUUGUAAAGCUCUUUUACCCGGGAUGAUAAUGACAGUACCGGGAGAAUAAGCUCCGGCUAACUCCGUGCCAGCAGCCG
RNAcentral lists this ribosomal RNA (441 nucleotides) under uncultured bacterium. Its description in RNAcentral is "bacterial SSU rRNA". It matches the Rfam family "Bacterial small subunit ribosomal RNA", at positions 29 to 517 of the family's 1533-position model. The record is from RNAcentral.